AUCUAGCUGACGAGUCAUAAAUAGGACGAAACGUGCUUCCUGGAU
Molecule: non-coding RNA, 45 nt
Filed under: Schistosoma haematobium
Lineage: Eukaryota; Metazoa; Platyhelminthes; Trematoda; Strigeidida; Schistosomatidae
Source: RNAcentral